UAUAAGUGUGCUCUAACAAUUUCCUAAAAAUUCCCGCUAAAACUUUUCCCCUAAAUCCUUUCCCUCCCUAAAUCUUUUCUGCCCCAAAAAAUAAUUAUGCCCAAAAAUAUUCCACUAAGUUAAGUUUUACCCAAAUUAUUCCCGUACUUCUUCUUCCCUAAAACAUGGUUCUUGUCAUCUAGUUAAGCAGAUUAGGGUAGAUUUUGUGAAAAUUGCUGAUGAAGAUGCUUGAUUUCUUCUAAUUGCUCUUCUCAAGAGUCAAAACCCUCUUAUUUAGGUUUCAAUUGGGAAGUUCGUUUGCUUAGGGUUGCAACUGCUAUAAACUUGUGAAGUCAACGACAAUUGAACUGUCCAAUUGGCAACAACAGUAAUCUAGCUUCUGAUUGGUUGCUCGUUCUGCAAUUUCAUCCUCUUCAAGAAGCACACAUUAGCAAAUUUUAUUUAAGAGCGCAAAACAGAGAAAUACACUUUACAAGAAUAUGUAUGGCAUCACAAGCACACCAAUGCUUCUAUGUACAAGAUCCAUACGAUCAAGACAAACAUUAUGUUAUGAAGACUGUCCCGAGAGACUUGUUUAACGUGGUUCACUUCUAACUGAGGAAGGUUGUGGAGUAGCAAAAAUUGAGGAAACAUACAGAUAUUGAGCAGGGCUGUGUUUGGGAAGGAGCAGCCUGGUCGAAUACGAUGCUAUGGUAGAUAAGUGACAACAUGUUCUCUGAAAAAAGAUGAGGAAAUCAAUAAGCUCCAACAAAAGCAUAACAAUGAAGUCUCUACUUUGAAAGCAGAAAUGCAAGAAAUGAGUCAAGAAAUGCAAGAGUUGAGGCAAAUGCGCCACUGCUUUAAUCUACUGGUGAAAAACAAUCCUGAACUUUUUAGUUCAGAUAUAUAAGGAUUUGUCGAAUCUAACCAACCUUCUCCGGUUGAUGCAAGUAGCGCACAAGCUGUAAGGGGCCAAAAUCUCCCACAUUCUUCUGGAUCAAACCAUGGUCCAAUUCUUGAAAAGGAGAAAGCGGAUGAUGCAAUUGGAAAUGGUGUCGGAAAGUCAAUUUGAUCUUAAUGUGAAUGCGAAUAAUUUUUGGAUAAUUAAGAUGUCAUUCAUGAUACUAUAUGAAUAUACUCACUUUUGAAAAGUUUAUUGUUAAUGAGCAUUUUGACACACUGUUUUAUUAGUAUGUGUAUUCAUUUGAAUUA
This is a long non-coding RNA of Nicotiana attenuata, 1191 nucleotides long. RefSeq lists it as uncharacterized. The record is from RefSeq and is a predicted model, not a curated record. NCBI's taxonomy places the organism in Eukaryota, Viridiplantae, Streptophyta, Magnoliopsida, Solanales, Solanaceae. The transcript is spliced from 7 exons.